CACGUAGGGAGCAAGCGUUGUCCGGAUUUAUUGGGCGUAAAGAGCUCGUAGGUUGUUCAGUAAGUCGGAUGUGAAAACUCAGGGCUCAACUCUGAGACGCCAUCCGAUACUGCUGUGACUUGAGUUCGGUAGAGGAGUGUGGAAUUCCUGGUGUAGCGGUGAAAUGCGCAGAUAUCAGGAGGAACACCAACAGCGAAGGCAGCACUCUGGGCCGAAACUGACACUGAGGAGCGAAAGCAUGGGGAGCAAACAGG
RNAcentral lists this unclassified non-coding RNA (254 nucleotides) under uncultured Acidimicrobiia bacterium. Its description in RNAcentral is "contains 16S-23S intergenic spacer region". It matches the Rfam family "Bacterial small subunit ribosomal RNA", at positions 524 to 776 of the family's 1533-position model. Lineage: Bacteria; Bacillati; Actinomycetota; Acidimicrobiia. The record is from RNAcentral.